GGUACUGUGUGGCGGAGGCCGGGGCGGCCGCAGCUCGAAUCCCCCAAACAAUGCCGCGCCAAGUGCAGGUUCCUCGCCCUUUUCCGUGCACUUUUUCCUUCUAAUGGGGCUAGUGGCCUCAAAUGGGCGCUGUAUCUUGACACGACAACAAUCCCUACCCCCUCGCUUGCCCCCCCCCCCACCUCCUCCCCUGCUUUUCCUUCCUCCCUCCGGGUCUUUGAUCUAUUAAAAAUCAAAAGAACAAAGUCACAGAGGAAAGUUGGGUUUUGUUGUGGCUGCCACGGCACAAAAUGGGCCUCUUCAAACAGAGUGUGGUGGAAGCCACGUCCGACAAUGCUGAUCCAGGAUUGGUUGUAACUACAGGUCAGACUGGACAGCUCUAUACAAGAGAAGGCAAAUCCAGGCCUGCCGAGGAGUGGCCAGAUUCUCCAUCCCAAAUUGGCUGCGGGGCCUCCUGGGAGCCAGGGAUGCCUCCAGUCAGGCUCCGAGUGCAAGAUGAGGGACAUCAGGGUCCCGGAAAGGCCUCCAGGUGAGGAGCCACGAGGACUUGGCGCUACGAUAUCUGCUCAAUCUUAAGUCAUCUUACAAAGCCCCCGUGUAGCAUUGGACUCUGCCCAAAUCUGGACACGCUUCGGCUUCCCCUACAGUGCUUGGCACACAGCAGUUCUAAAUACAUUAGGAAAACCACUUCCUAGACCACUGAAAAGGCAUAACACGAACUGGCCAAAAGUUUCUGGGCUACUUUCCAGCCUUCAAGAAGGACUGAAGGGAGAAGUCUGUGAGGCCUCUUCACAAGCAGAUGGAGAGGGAAAAGGAAGUCACCAUGGUAACCACUACCCAGGCUCUGGGUGAUUCUGAAGCUCGAUCAGACUGAAAAACCACCAAUUUAAGAACCCCAACCACCCACCUGCUGAUGGAAAUUGUAUACUUAGAAGUCUGUGUUCUUGCAGUCUAGAGACAAACUGGAAAGGGAAUCAAGGAAAAGCUGUCUGAAGCUGAGGACUCCUAGCACAGAAGUCCAAUCAGAGGUUCUGCUCUGAUCUGCUGCAGGUCCAGCCCCAUCACUGAGGUGGCUGAGCCCUCAGGGGUGAAAAACCUGAAGGGAAAUCAGCCAAGUUCCCUCCCUCAGAGAGAAGUCCAGAAUGGGAGACAGGGAGAUACUGACCCCCAGGUAUAGAAGGAAGCAGUGGAGGGAGGAAGAUGCUGGAGGUUAAGUCAUUCAAAACAGAGAGGAGUUCAAAUGCCACUGGACAAAAGGUAGUUUGAGGGGGUGGCUUGUGUGCAUGAGUGAGAGUACGAGUGUGAGUGUGGAGUACGUGUGAGGAGUGUGACAGAUGCGAAUAUUGUGGGUGUAAAAAAUGGGGAUAUGCUAGGGGCCUGGGCAGAGCGUGGAGGAUGAAGAGAGUGGCUGAUGUGAAAGGUUGGGGGAGAGGCACAGGUGACAGAGGGCUGGGACAGGGUGCACAGGACACAAAGGGGCAUGAGCUAAAGAGAUGGGAGGUGGUAAGGGGUCUAAGAGAAGUGAGAGAAGUAAUGAGGGUUGAGAAGAUCUGAGGGGCUUGUGGGUUUGUGUGGGAGUAGCAGAGGGGGAAGGAGAGAAGGGGAGGAAGGGAUAGGAAGGAUUGAGAAGGAGGGAGAGGGGAUUUGUGAAGGGCUGAAGGAGUCGGAAAGGGUGACAGGGUGGGAGGCAUAGGGGAGAUGGGAGAAGGCGAGUGGGGAGAGCAGAGCGGGUAAGGUGCACCCUGCUCCAACGUCUCCCAAGCUGCAAUGGAAAGGCCGGGAAUAAGCAUGAAUAGUAAUCAGGGACACCUGGGUGGCUCAGUGGUUGAGCGUCUGCCUUCAGCUCAGCACGGGAUCCCGGGGUCCUGGGAUCAAGUCUCACAUCGGGAUCCCCGCAGGGAGCCUGCUUCUC
Molecule: long non-coding RNA, 1912 nt
Organism: Canis lupus familiaris (dog)
Lineage: Eukaryota; Metazoa; Chordata; Mammalia; Carnivora; Canidae
Exons: 3
Source: RefSeq, a predicted model, not a curated record